AUUAAAGGCCCCGAACAGUCAUUCCAAUUCCCAUGUAAAAUAGCCUCUUGUGUGACUAAAAUAUCACCCAUAAUAUUUGUUUUGGAUAGGAGUGGAAAUUUAUUUGAGAAAAUUACUAACUACCAGGAAGUUUGAAAAGACAGUGUGAGUGGGCAGGGAGCUUAAAUUCAUGAGCUUGCCUUGACUGACAGCUAUAAAACGCCAAUGUCAAGCAACUUCGGAUUCAGUAUUGCAAUAAUCAUCAAGACAAUUUGGUGAUACACAAAGCAACUCAAACAACAUUGAAAUUGCAUGAAUGAUGUCAACUUUUUUUUUAUAUAUACAUCUUCCGUUUGGCAUGUCUCUUGUUAUGUGGUUCACAGCAACACUGACUGAUGUGUUGACUUGACAACUGUGUCAGGGUUUUGAACGGCCCUCCGCCUUUUCUUCCAUGCUGGCUGAAGCCCUGGGUAGCCAGUAACUAGCUAACACCAGACACAGAUGAAGCCCUGGGUAGCCAGUAACUAGCUAAUACCAGACACAGAUGAAGACCUAGGUAACCAGUAACUAGCUAACACCAGACACAGAUGAAGACCUAGGUAGCCAGUAACUAACUAACACCAGACACAGAUGAAGACCUAGGUAGCCAGUAACUAGCUAACACCAGACACAGAUGAAGACCUAGGUAGCCAGUAACUAGCUAACACCAGACACAGAUGAAGACCUAGGUAGCCAGUAACUAGCUAACACCAGACACAGAUGAAGACCUAGGUAGCCAGUAACUAGCUAACACCAGACACAGAUGAAGACCUAGGUAGCCAGUAACUAGCUAACACCAGACACAGAUGAAGACCUAGGUAGCCAGUAACUAGCUAACACCAGACACAGAUGAAGACCUAGGUAGCCAGUAACUAGCUAACACCAGACACAGAUGAAGACCUAGGUAGCCAGUAACUAGCUAACACCAGACACAGAUGAAGACCUAGGUAGCCAGUAACUAGCGAACGCCAGACACAGAUGAAGACCUAGGUAGCCAGUAACUAGCUAACACCAGACACAGAUGAAAGGGGAAACAUGUAAGUAUCUUUGCCAGAGAUAAAUAGGGUAAACUUUUAAAUAUAUUUGCUGACACCCUACUGUAACCCUACUGUUGGCACCAGUAGAGUAGCUAUCUAGCUAUAUAAACUACGCCCCUCUACAAACACGCCUUCUUCAAUGUUGGUUACAAAGCGGUACAUAUUUACAUUAGAUAAGAGAACAUCAUGUUAUCAUCGGUGUAUUAAAA
Oncorhynchus keta (chum salmon) is the source of this 1264-nucleotide long non-coding RNA. RefSeq lists it as uncharacterized. The transcript has 3 exons. NCBI's taxonomy places the organism in Eukaryota, Metazoa, Chordata, Actinopteri, Salmoniformes, Salmonidae. The record is from RefSeq and is a predicted model, not a curated record.